Gasterosteus aculeatus aculeatus (three-spined stickleback) is the source of this 2269-nucleotide long non-coding RNA. NCBI's taxonomy places the organism in Eukaryota, Metazoa, Chordata, Actinopteri, Perciformes, Gasterosteidae. The record is from Ensembl.
GGACUACUUCUCCCACCUCAUCGAGCCGGGCGCGACAAACGCCGUCACACGAUACACUCUUCCCGGCAUCCACGGCCUCAACUUUGUCCUGCAGAGCUCGCUGGGAGGGGGAGGGGUGGCGUCUCUACGCAGCGACCCCCAGGUAACACACACGCACACACAGACACGCACACACAGACACACACUGCUUCCUGCCUCUCAUCACAGCGUCCCUCAAAGAGCUGCAGAGGAACCAGGCGCAGCUGAGAUCUAACCUGGUUCAAGUACUUUUCCCCCUCGAUACAUUUAUCGUGUUUAUGUUGUUUUGAUAAAAUAUGAUUCAUUUAUUAGAUCCGAUGCAUGAACCAUGUUUUCGCUCAUGAUGCCUGUUGGACCGUCAGUCAUCAGCAAAAAGAUUCUUUACUUUAGAUUUUACUCAAGUAAAAUAUCCGUUCUUCUGGCUAAAGGUUUGAAUACGUCUCCUCUUCGUGGGGAUAAUGUCAGAUACAACGUGCCCUUUGACCUCUUUAUCUUUCUUCUUCCUUCUCAACCUCCUCCCACUUUCCUCCUCUUCUUCCCUUGUUUACUGCCUCCACUUUACAUGAAAGAAACACACUCUCUGUGCCCACACACACACACACACACACACACACACAUUACGGUGGUUGUUGUUGUUGUUGUUGUGGGAACAAACUGAGCUGUGAUGUUUCUUCUUCUCUCAGGGAAAAGCUUACGGUCAGAUGCUGCUGGACGUGAAGCUGCACGGACUCCCCGACCUCAAGUCCCUGGUGGACUGAGACACUCUGGACCACCACAAAAGAAGAGAGAGAGCAAAGAGAAACACGAAAGGACAUUUUAGCUCAACAGAACGAGGAGAAACCAGAUGAAACGCCAAACCACAGGCUCGGCCAACGUUAGCUAACGUUAGCUAACGCAUUUAAAUCAACCAGAGUAGAUGAUUAAGGAGCAACACGUUGAAAUAGAGGAACACGACUCGCACUAAACCUGGGCUCCGGCUUCAAGGGACCUGACCUCUGUGACCCCGGCGGUUUGGAGACAUCAGGCCUCAGGUUGGUGUGCACGCCCCCCCCCCACCUCCUUCACCUCGACGCGACCCGGCUCCGGUGUUCGCCGGGCUGCAGGAAUGUGCGUCUGCUUCCACCAGAGCACCGUCCCUCCGGCUUCCAGGCUGCUUUUCUGUAAUUGCAAACAGACCGAGAGUUUGUUCUCUACAGCUUCCGUCAACUCAGGACUCCCCCACCCCCCAAAUCCUCCUCCUCCUCGGAGAGAGAAGAGAUCUCCCCCUCUUUGGACGCAUUACUCUUUCCUGGCAACCGCUUUGGUACUUUCACUUCUCUGAUGCUUUGGGGAAUUAUACAUUUUUGUGUAUUUAAUCUUAUUUUUCAGCUGCUGCAUUCGUGAGCUCUGAGUGUUUUCACUCAAACACAGAGAAGAACCACAUGAGACCUUCUGCCAGGAAGAAAAAGCAAAACCACGAUCCUCCGAACAGACUUACGGAGAGAUUUACACGCAAUAAAAUCCUAAAAUAACCCACAACAACGAGAGUCCUUCCACAAACAAAUUGAGCACAGACGCGCGAGUAUCAAUCAACAAAUAUUCGCCUCAGAAGAAUCCACGGGCUCCUCUGGAGUUCAACGGACGCCGCCGAGGUGGUCCCAUCGUUUUUAGCGAGGUGUUGAAAUCCAGGCUGUAAAUUCCAGCUCAGUUUCCCGUUUUCAUAAAAAAGAAAGCUCCGAUUUCAUGUGGAAUCUCGCAUCCGCCUGCUAAUUAGUCACCGUGGAAUAAGUUCUAGCAGCUAAAUGUUCACACGUCGCGGCUGACGGGAAAGACGGUUUGGUGUUUGAUUUUAAACCUUAAGCGACAUGUUCUCUCUCUCAGUAUGAAGCUAAAUAGAAGGAACACUUGUAAUAUGAACUUCAGAAAUAAAUAUGUUUGAAAAAAUCUGUCCUCCAGAAUAUUCUGCAGCGGACGAGCCUGUUAGUCUGCACUGAACUCAUGAAUGUUCAGUAUUUGUUGGUGAAAAAGCAGUGGCCCCAGGAUGGAACUGUGUGUGUGUGUGUGUGUGUGUGUGUGUGUGUGUGUGUGUGUGCGUGUGUGUGUGUGUGUGUGCAUAUAUAACAUGGAGUCUGAGCCUUUCUUUGGGUUUAUUCACCUCUUAAGUUUUAACAUCACUUGUUUCUUCCAAGAACUUUUCUCCAAAUGAAGUAAUGAAAGUUUGAUUCCGUGCUUUCUUUAUUUUUAUCACUUCAUGCUUUUAAGGAGCCGAUUU